This 82-nucleotide transfer RNA is filed under the name Sphaerobolus stellatus SS14. RNAcentral describes it as "tRNA-Ser (CGA) (tRNA-Ser-CGA-4-1)". It matches the Rfam family "tRNA". Rfam says of the family: Transfer RNA (tRNA) molecules are approximately 80 nucleotides in length. Their secondary structure includes four short double-helical elements and three loops (D, anti-codon, and T loops). Further hydrogen bonds mediate the characteristic L-shaped molecular structure. tRNAs have two regions of fundamental functional importance: the anti-codon, which is responsible for specific mRNA codon recognition, and the 3' end, to which the tRNAs corresponding amino acid is attached (by aminoacyl-tRNA synthetases). tRNAs cope with the degeneracy of the genetic code in two manners: having more than one tRNA (with a specific anti-codon) for a particular amino acid; and 'wobble' base-pairing, i.e. permitting non-standard base-pairing at the 3rd anti-codon position. Lineage: Eukaryota; Fungi; Basidiomycota; Agaricomycetes; Geastrales; Sphaerobolaceae. The record is from Rfam by way of RNAcentral.
GGCGAUGUAGCCAAGUGGUUACGGCGAUUGAUUCGAAAUCAAUUCCUCUUUGAGGGCAUAUGUUUAAAUCCUGCCAUCGUCG